CUACUCUGUGAUGUCUGAUCUCAGAAGCUAAGCGGAGCUGGGCCUGGUUAGUAUGUUGAUAGGAGACCACUGGGAAUAUCAAGU
Molecule: ribosomal RNA, 84 nt
Filed under: Periophthalmus magnuspinnatus
Lineage: Eukaryota; Metazoa; Chordata; Actinopteri; Gobiiformes; Gobiidae
Source: RNAcentral